GUAGGUGGCAAGCGUUGUCCGGAAUUAUGGGGGCGUAAAGCGCGCGCAGGUGGUUCUUUAAGUCUGAUGUGAAAGCCCCCGGGCUCAACCGGGGAGGGUCAUUGGAAACUGGGGAACUUGAGUGCAGGAGAGGAAAGUGGAAUUCCACGUGUAGCGGUGAAAUGCGUAGAUAUGUGGAGGAACACCAGUGGCGAAGGCGACUUUCUGGCCUGUAACUGACACUGAGGCGCGAAAGCGUGGGGAGCAAACAGGAUUAGAUACCCUGGUAGUCCACGCCGUAAACGAUGAGUGCUAAGUGUUGGGGGGUUUCCGGCCCCUCCAGUGCUGCAGCUAACGCAUUAAGCACUCCGCCUGGGGAGUACGGCCGCAAAGACUG
RNAcentral lists this ribosomal RNA (376 nucleotides) under uncultured organism. RNAcentral describes it as "partial 16S ribosomal RNA". It matches the Rfam family "Bacterial small subunit ribosomal RNA", at positions 527 to 896 of the family's 1533-position model. The record is from RNAcentral.